GAUGAACGCUGGCGCCGUGCCUAAUACAUGCAAGUCGAGCGAACAGACGAGGAGCUUGCUCCUCUGACGUUAGCGGCGGACGGGUGAGUAACACGUGGAUAACCUACCUAUAAGACUGGGAUAACUUCGGGAAACCGGAGCUAAUACCGGAUAACAUGUUGAACCGCAUGGUUCAACAGUGAAAGACGGUCUUGCUGUCACUUAUAGAUGGAUCCGCGCCGCAUUAGCUAGUUGGUAAGGUAACGGCUUACCAAGGCAACGAUGCGUAGCCGACCUGAGAGGGUGAUCGGCCACACUGGAACUGAGACACGGUCCAGACUCCUACGGGAGGCAGCAGUAGGGAAUCUUCCGCAAUGGGCGAAAGCCUGACGGAGCAACGCCGCGUGAGUGAAGAAGGUCUUCGGAUCGUAAAACUCUGUUAUUAGGGAAGAACAAAUGUGUAAGUAACUAUGCACGUCUUGACGGUACCUAAUCAGAAAGCCACGGCUAACUACGUG
Molecule: ribosomal RNA, 497 nt
Filed under: uncultured bacterium
Lineage: Bacteria
Description: partial 16S ribosomal RNA
Rfam family: Bacterial small subunit ribosomal RNA
Source: RNAcentral